CUUGCUCUCUGGGUGACGAGCGGCGGACGGGUGAGUAAUGUCUGGGAAACUGCCUGAUGGAGGGGGAUAACUACUGGAAACGGUAGCUAAUACCGCAUAACGUCUACGGACCAAAGUGGGGGACCUUCUGGCCUCACGCCAUCAGAUGUGCCCAGAUGGGAUUAGCUAGUAGGUGGGGUAAUGGCUCACCUAGGCGACGAUCCCUAGCUGGUCUGAGAGGAUGACCAGCCACACUGGAACUGAGACACGGUCCAGACUCCUACGGGAGGCAGCAGUGGGGAAUAUUGCACAAUGGGCGCAAGCCUGAUGCAGCCAUGCCGCGUGUGUGAAGAAGGCCUUAGGGUUGUAAAGCACUUUCAGCGAGGAGGAAGGGUA
RNAcentral lists this ribosomal RNA (375 nucleotides) under Serratia sp. enrichment culture clone EST82_EN9. Its description in RNAcentral is "bacterial SSU rRNA". It matches the Rfam family "Bacterial small subunit ribosomal RNA", at positions 75 to 454 of the family's 1533-position model. The record is from RNAcentral. Lineage: Bacteria; Pseudomonadati; Pseudomonadota; Gammaproteobacteria; Enterobacterales; Yersiniaceae.